UUUUCUGAGAAUUUGAUCUUGGUUCAGAUUGAACGCUGGCGGCGUGGAUGAGGCAUGCAAGUCGAACGGAAUAAUGACUUCGGUUGUUAUUUAGUGGCGGAAGGGUUAGUAAUACAUAGAUAAUCUGUCCUCAACUUGGGAAUAACGGUUGGAAACGACCGCUAAUACCGAAUGUGGUAUGUUUAGGCAUCUAAAACAUAUUAAAGAAGGGGAUCUUCGGACCUUUCGGUUGAGGGAGAGUCUAUGGGAUAUCAGCUUGUUGGUGGGGUAAUGGCCUACCAAGGCUUUGACGUCUAGGCGGAUUGAGAGAUUGACCGCCAACACUGGGACUGAGACACUGCCCAGACUUCUACGGAAGGCUGCAGUCGAGAAUCUUUCGCAAUGGACGAAAGUCUGACGAAGCGACGCCGCGUGUGUGAUGAAGGCUCUAGGGUUGUAAAGCACUUUCGCUUGGGAAUAAGAGAGAUUGGCUAAUAUCCAAUCGAUUUGAGCGUACCAGGUAAAGAAGCACCGGCUAACUCCGUGCCAGCAGCUGCGGUAAUACGGAGGGUGCUAGCGUUAAUCGGAUUUAUUGGGCGUAAAGGGCGUGUAGGCGGAAAGGAAAGUUAGAUGUUAAAUCUUGGGGCUCAACCCCAAGCCAGCAUCUAAUACUAUCUUUCUAGAGGGUAGAUGGAGAAAAGGGAAUUCCACGUGUAGCGGUGAAAUGCGUAGAUAUGUGGAAGAACACCAGUGGCGAAGGCGCUUUUCUAAUUUACACCUGACGCUAAGGCGCGAAAGCAAGGGGAGCAAACAGGAUUAGAUACCCUGGUAGUCCUUGCCGUAAACGAUGCAUACUUGAUGUGGAUAGUCUCAACCCUAUCCGUGUCGUAGCUAACGCGUUAAGUAUGCCGCCUGAGGAGUACACUCGCAAGGGUGAAACUCAAAAGAAUUGACGGGGGCCCGCACAAGCAGUGGAGCAUGUGGUUUAAUUCGAUGCAACGCGAAGAACCUUACCUGGGCUUGACAUGUAUUUGACCGCGGCAGAAAUGUCGUUUUCCGCAAGGACAGAUACACAGGUGCUGCAUGGCUGUCGUCAGCUCGUGCCGUGAGGUGUUGGGUUAAGUCCCGCAACGAGCGCAACCCUUAUCGUUAGUUGCCAACACUUAGGGUGGGAACUCUAACGAGACUGCCUGGGUUAACCAGGAGGAAGGCGAGGAUGACGUCAAGUCAGCAUGGCCCUUAUGCCCAGGGCUACACACGUGCUACAAUGGCCAGUACAGAAGGUAGCAAUAUCGUGAGAUGGAGCAAAUCCUCAAAGCUGGCCCCAGUUCGGAUUGUAGUCUGCAACUCGACUACAUGAAGUCGGAAUUGCUAGUAAUGGCGUGUCAGCUAUAACGCCGUGAAUACGUUCCCGGGCCUUGUACACACCGCCCGUCACAUCAUGGGAGUUGGUUUUGCCUUAAGUCGUUGACUCAACCUGCAAAGGAGAGAGGCGCCCAAGGUGAGGCUGAUGACUGGGAUGAAGUCGUAACAAGGUAGCCCUACCGGAAGGUGGGGCUGGAUCACCUCCUUUU
RNAcentral lists this ribosomal RNA (1553 nucleotides) under Chlamydia psittaci. RNAcentral's name for it is "bacterial SSU rRNA". It matches the Rfam family "Bacterial small subunit ribosomal RNA". RNAcentral also lists the same sequence under 2 other names. Lineage: Bacteria; Pseudomonadati; Chlamydiota; Chlamydiia; Chlamydiales; Chlamydiaceae. The record is from RNAcentral.